Molecule: ribosomal RNA, 2066 nt
Filed under: human gut metagenome
Description: bacterial LSU rRNA
Rfam family: Bacterial large subunit ribosomal RNA
Source: RNAcentral
AAUCGAACCCGGAGAUAGCUGGUUCUCCUCGAAAUAGCUUUAGGGCUAGCCUCAUGGAUCAUUGAUGGGGGUAGAGCACUGAAUGUGCGCGGGGGCCACAAAGCCUACCAAACGCUAUCAAACUUCGAAUACCAUACAAUGCAGACCAUGGGAGUCAGUCCGCGAGAGAUAAGUUCCGCGGGCAAAAGGGGAACACCCCAGAUCAACCGCUAAGGUCCCCAAGUUCACGUUAAGUGGAGAAGGAUGUGGAAUUGCACAGACAACCAGGAUGUUGGCUCAGAAGCAGCCACACAUUUAAAGAGUGCGUAAUAGCUCACUGGUCGAGUGAUUGUGCGCCGAAGAUGUCCGGGGCUAAACGUGACACCGAAGCGAUGGGUGCGUCUGAAGAAGAUGCGCGGUAGAGGAGCAAUGUGCAGAGGCAGAAGCCGUAUCGAGAGGCACGGUGGACACUGCACAAGAGAGAAUGCCGGUAUGAGUAGCGAGAGGCAUGCGAGAAACAUGCCCGUCGAAAGCCCAAGGUUUCCUGGGGAAGGUUCAUCCGCCCAGGGUAAGUCGGGGCCUAAGCCGAGGACGGAAGUCGUAGGCGAUGGACAGCAGGUGUAGAUUCCUGCACUACCGAUGGAAUGAAGCAGUGACACAGAAGGAUAACUCGAGCAGGGUGAUGGUCAACCCUGUGCAAGCAUCAAGGUUGGGUUGUAGUGAAGUACGCAACCCUACAAGCUGAGGUGUGAUGCGGACCGAAAUUUCAGUAGGGAAGCGAGUGAGUUCACGCUGGCGAGAAAAGCUGCUAGUACAUCCAAAGGUACCCGUACCGGAAACCGACGCAGGUGGGCGAGGAGAGAAUCCUGAGACGAACGGGAGAACCCUUGUUAAGGAACUCGGCAAAAUGACCCCGUAACUUCGGGAUAAGGGGUGCCUGCGAGAGCAGGCCGCAGAGAAUAGUCACAAGCGACUGUUUAGCAAAAACACAGGUAUCUGCGAAAGCGAGAGCUGACGUAUAGGUGCUGACACCUGCCCGGUGCUGGAAGGUUAAGGGAACAUGUUAGAGCAAUCGAAGCAUCGAACCGAAGCCCCAGUAAACGGCGGCCGUAACUAUAACGGUCCUAAGGUAGCGAAAUUCCUUGUCGGGUAAGUUCCGACCCGCACGAAUGGUGUAACGACUUGUGAGCUGUCUCAACAGGGGGCCCGGUGAAAUUGAAGUAUGGGUGAAGAUGCCCAUUACCCGCGACUGGACGGAGAGACCCCGUAGAGCUUUACUGCAGCCUGAUAUUGAGUUUCGGUAACUGAUGCACAGGAUAGGUGGGAGUCUGAGAGACAUGGGUUUCGGCUCGUGUGGAGACGGUGUUGGGAUACCACUCUUCGGUUACUGAAAUUCUAACAUAGCUCUGUGAAACCAGAGGAUGGACAGUGUCAGGUGGACAGUUUGACUGGGGCGGUCGCCUCCGAAAGAGUAACGGAGGCGCCCAAAGGUACCCUCAGAAUGGAUGGAAACCAUUCGAAGAGCGCAAAGGCAGAAGGGUGCCUGACUGCGAGAGCGACAACUCGAGCAGAGACGAAAGUCGGGCUUAGUGAUCCGGCGGUAUUGAGUGGAAAAGCCGUCGCUUAACGGAUAAAAGCUACCUCGGGGAUAACAGGCUGAUCUCCCCCAAGAGUCCACAUCGACGGGGAGGUUUGGCACCUCGAUGUCGGCUCAUCGCAUCCUGGGGCUGAAUUCGGUCCCAAGGGUUUGGCUGUUCGCCAAUUAAAGCGGCACGCGAGCUGGGUUCAGAACGUCGUGAGACAGUUCGGUCCCUAUCCAUCGUGGGCGUAGGAGUCAUGAGAGGAGCUGUUCCUAGUACGAGAGGACCGGAAUGGACGCACCACUGGUGCAACUGUUGUCGUGCCAACGGCAUAGCAGGGAAGCGAAGUGCGGAUGGGAUAAACGCUGAAGGCAUCUAAGCGUGAAGCCCACCUCAAGAAUAAGACUCCACAAUAGACCCCUGGAGGACUACCAGGUAGAUAGGUCAUCGGUGGAAGCGCCGUAAGGUGUGUAGCUUGAUGAUACUAAUCGGUCGAAAGCUUCAUUU